RNAcentral lists this long non-coding RNA (294 nucleotides) under Selaginella moellendorffii. RNAcentral describes it as "long non-coding RNA (SMOE_LNC001857)". The record is from RNAcentral. Lineage: Eukaryota; Viridiplantae; Streptophyta; Lycopodiopsida; Selaginellales; Selaginellaceae.
AGUCCCGAUCGAGUUUGGAAGCUCCAACCUUUGCAGGUACGAUGGGACAGAGAUGAAGCACGAGGCCGGCUAUGAUGCUUACAUGACGGCGGCAGUCUUUGCCAACAUCUGCCAGUUUGUGAAGAUGGAUCCCGCGAACUUGCCUUCACUCUGCGAGCAAGCAAAAGAAGGCGAGGAAGAAAGAUCAGGCCUUGGGAGCCACGCAAAUCACUUGUACCUUGGUUGGCGAGGGCACUUUGUCCUCGAUCUUUCGACUGGCCAGGAAGCAACUGGUCCCAGGUCACUCAAGUCUUC